GAAGAAAGACUGGUAAGAGUGGUGCUGCAGCAGCCACUGUGGCUCCUUCCAUUUCCACUGCCCUGCAGACCCAAAAAACCAAAAGAAAAAGCUAAGCCUACUAUCUCUUUUUUUUUUUUAGUUCGUUUUCUCUUAAAAAAAUAAUCUUACUAUUUAUGAAAAUGUUAAUUAAUUAAUUUGAGUUUUUUACCCGAUUUCGGAUGGGAAAGGGGAGGGGGGCCGCCCAUAUCUUUAGCCGUUCCAUCAUCAUUAAGGACAACAUGAUAUUCGCCACGUGUCAUAGAUGCCAUUUACCCGGACCCGACCAGAUCCGAACCCGACCCGACCCAAAUGACCCAUCGGGGUAGGUAUGGACCCGACCCGACCC
RNAcentral lists this long non-coding RNA (367 nucleotides) under Phoenix dactylifera (date palm). RNAcentral describes it as "long non-coding RNA (PDAC_LNC015830)". Lineage: Eukaryota; Viridiplantae; Streptophyta; Magnoliopsida; Arecales; Arecaceae. The record is from RNAcentral.